UACAGAGGGUGCAAGCGUUAAUCGGAAUUACUGGGCGUAAAGCGUGCGUAGACGGUUACAUAAGUCGGGUGUGAAAGCCCCGGGCUCAACCUGGGAAUUGCAUUCGAGACUGCGUAGCUAGGGUGCGGAAGAGGGAAGCGGAAUUUCCGGUGUAGCGGUGAAAUGCGUAGAUAUCUGGAGGAACACCGGUGGCGAAGGCGGCAUCCUGGACCGGCAUUGACGCUGAAAAGCGAAAGCCAGGGGAGCAAACGGG
This 253-nucleotide ribosomal RNA is filed under the name uncultured bacterium. RNAcentral describes it as "partial 16S ribosomal RNA". It matches the Rfam family "Bacterial small subunit ribosomal RNA", at positions 524 to 776 of the family's 1533-position model. The record is from RNAcentral.